Molecule: long non-coding RNA, 407 nt
Organism: Eurytemora carolleeae
Lineage: Eukaryota; Metazoa; Arthropoda; Copepoda; Calanoida; Temoridae
Exons: 3
Source: RefSeq, a predicted model, not a curated record
UAAUAAUUCAAAAUGCUGUCUCCAUUAUAUCGAAAAAGCAUUAUUGCAAAACUAGCUCAAAUACCAAAUCUUAUCAUUUCAAAUUAUUUUCAUAAGUGCCAAAACCUUUAUACCACGUUUUAGCCAUUUUUGGCCUUUUCAACAGUUUAAAUUUGAAAAUUUAAACUUUUAUGUUAAGCCUGAUUUGAUAACUGUAAUACAUCUUGUAAUUGGACUUGUUGCUGCUCUUCUUGGCCUUCUUGUCAGCUUUCUUCUUGUGGUUGCUGUCAAGAUCAAGAAUAGGUAUCUUCUUCUUCCAUGGCUUUUUCUCCAUAUUUUUGUGAUCAUGUCAAGUAUUGCAAUAGGAAUAUACAUUGUUGUUCGAUACUGUAUUCUGACGCAACCCCCAGAGUACAUUAAAUCUAUUU